This 221-nucleotide unclassified non-coding RNA is filed under the name uncultured Tomentella. RNAcentral describes it as "sequence contains ITS2". The record is from RNAcentral. Lineage: Eukaryota; Fungi; Basidiomycota; Agaricomycetes; Thelephorales; Thelephoraceae.
ACACCUCAACUCUUCAUGGUUUUCUGUGAUGAGCUUGGACUUUGGGGGUUUUGCUGGCCUAUGGUCGGCUCCUCUAAAAUGAAUCAGCUUUCCGGUGUUUGGUGGGCGUCACAGGUGUGAUAACUAUCUACGCUUGUGGUUUUUCCACCAGGUAACCUUCAGCAGUGGAGGUUCGCUGGAGCUCAUAGACGUCUCUCCUCAGCGAGGACAACCCUUUGAAU